UUUCCCCCUUCCCGCAACACUCGACCACUAUAAAUGCGAGGCGAGAGACAAAGCCGCCAACAAUCUACCGAGAUCGGAUUCUUCCACACUUCUGCCGCCGCCGCCGCCACCGCUAGCCAAAGAGUCACACAGAGAAAACCACCUCCGCGAUGAGGGCCAAGUGGAAGAAGAAGAGAAUGAGGAGGCUCAAGCGGAAGCGCCGAAAGAUGAGGCAGCGAUCUAAGUAGGCGCCCUCCAGGAGUAGCAUUACCUUGCAUACAGGCUGCUGGACAUUGUGGGAUGAAGUUGCGUCUAAUGAUUCCUGAUGUGUCAUAGUAGUUUUGGUUGUAGGUGAUGUGAAUCCUUCACUGAUUUGGCCAAAUUAGGCGUUUUUAAUAGUCUGGUUAUUAUGUCCCAAGACUGUUUUAUGUACUGUAAGGAUGGUUAUAUGUAUUGUUACUGAAUCUUACAACGAGUUUGGUGGUGCCUGGCAUCGUGGCAUAUGUUAUCUUCUUUGAUAA
Long non-coding RNA from Brachypodium distachyon (stiff brome), 500 nucleotides. RefSeq lists it as uncharacterized. NCBI's taxonomy places the organism in Eukaryota, Viridiplantae, Streptophyta, Magnoliopsida, Poales, Poaceae. The transcript has 2 exons. The record is from RefSeq and is a predicted model, not a curated record.